This 253-nucleotide ribosomal RNA is filed under the name uncultured bacterium. RNAcentral describes it as "partial 16S ribosomal RNA". It matches the Rfam family "Bacterial small subunit ribosomal RNA", at positions 524 to 776 of the family's 1533-position model. The record is from RNAcentral.
UACAGAGGGUGCAAGCGUUAAUCGGAGUUACUGGGCAUAAAGGGCGCGUAGGCGGAUGUUUAAGUCGGAUGUGAAAUCCCUGGGCUCAACCUGGGAAUUGCAUUCGAUACUGGACGUCUAGAGUAUGGUAGAGGAAAGUGGAAUUCCCGGUGUAGUGGUAAAAUACGUAGAUAUCGGGAGGAACACCAGUGGCGAAGGCGGCUUUCUGGUCCAAUACUGACGCUGAGGCGCGAAAGCGUGGGGAGCAAACAGG